UGGGGAAUUUUGGACAAUGGGCGAAGCCUGAUCCAAGCAAUGCCGCGUGUGUGAAGAAGGCCUUCGGGUUGUAAAGCACUUUUGUCCGGAAAGAAAUCCUUGGCUCUAAUACAGUCGGGGGAUGACGGUACCGGAAGAAUAAGCACCGGCUAACUACGUGCCAGCAGCCGCGGUAAUACGUAGGGUGCAAGCGUUAAUCGGAAUUACUGGGCGUAAAGCGUGCGCAGGCGGUUUGCUAAGACCGAUGUGAAAUCCCCGGGCUCAACCUGGGAACUGCAUUGGUGACUGGCAGGCUAGAGUAUGGCAGAGGGGGGUUAGAAUUCCACGUGUAGCAGUGAAAUGCGUAGAGAUGUGGAGGAAUACCGAUGGCGAAGGCAGCCCCCUGGGCCAAUACUGAGCGCUCAUGCACGAAAGCGUGGGGAGCAAACAGGAUUAGAUACCCUGGUAGUCCACGCCCUAAACGAUGUCAACUAGUUGUUGGGG
Molecule: ribosomal RNA, 483 nt
Filed under: uncultured bacterium
Lineage: Bacteria
Description: partial 16S ribosomal RNA
Rfam family: Bacterial small subunit ribosomal RNA
Source: RNAcentral